Non-coding RNA from Melozone crissalis (California towhee), 591 nucleotides. NCBI's taxonomy places the organism in Eukaryota, Metazoa, Chordata, Aves, Passeriformes, Passerellidae. The record is from the annotation of a RefSeq genome assembly.
AUGCGUUUUGGCAGCGGCACAAAGCUUACAGUAAUAGGCAAGAAUGAGGAAAUCAUACCUCCAGCCGUGGCCAUCUUUUCCCCAUCAAAGCAGGAGAUCCAGCAGAAGAGCAAGGCCACGCUGGUGUGCCUGGCCUCUGGUUUCUACCCUGACCACCUGACUCUGGUCUGGAGGGUGAAUGGUGUGAAAAGGACCGAAGGGGUGGGGACAGACGAGUCCUCCACACAGAAUGGGAGCACCUACUCGCUGACCAGCCGACUGAGGAUGCCAGCCUGGGAGUGGUUCAACCCUCUGAAUCGCUUUGAGUGUGUUGCCAAUUUUUUUCAGAAUGGAACAACAGCCUCAAUAAACAAAUUUAUCCAUGGUGAUGCUGGUUGUGCACUCACAGAAGAAUCGUACUUGCGGUAUGGAAAUUCCCUGAAGCUCACUUACCUCAUCCUCUGUGGCAAAGCCUUGGUCUAUAGGAUAUUUGUGAUGGGGUUGAUGCUUAGGUCCAAGGAGAGAAGCAGAAUUCUGCUCUGCACUCAUUUGUUAUCACUCCUUCUAGCCACACAGGAGACCACUUUGGAGAAAGUGAUGUCUUCAGGGUGA